Long non-coding RNA from Helianthus annuus (common sunflower), 461 nucleotides. RefSeq lists it as uncharacterized. The record is from RefSeq and is a predicted model, not a curated record. NCBI's taxonomy places the organism in Eukaryota, Viridiplantae, Streptophyta, Magnoliopsida, Asterales, Asteraceae. The transcript has 2 exons.
CACUAAAAUCAUCCCCGCCCAAAUUUUCCCAAUUUCUCAAAAACCCAAAUUCCCCCUAAUCCUUGAAACCUAAAUUGAGCAUUUUCCCUCGAACAUCCCUCUCUUUGUCUCGCUAUCAAUCCAACAGCAAUAAGCAUCCAUCAUUCGAGGUCUGUGUGACCUACAGCUUCUAGCAGUGGUGCUGCUCAAGCGGUAUAAAGGGGCUGACUUGGGGAAGUGGCACAUUUGGUCAACUUGUUCAUGGAGAUCUGGUUAAUAACUUAGAGCCAAAAUCAGUACAAGUUCUAUAUAACUUCAAUAUAACCCAUGUUUCAGCCGGAUGGAACUAGGGGUGCAAACGUGCCAAGCCGAGCCUAAGCUCUAUUAGAUUCAAGUUUUGUUUCUAAGAAGGUAUUUUGAUUUAGUAACAUGUCAAAACUUAAAAAAAAUUCUAAUUUUAUAAGGGUGAAAACUUUGAUUCA